GACAGAGGCCCCAAGCGUUAGGCGGAAUCACUGGGCUUAAAGCGUGUGUAGGCGGACGCCUAAGUGUCUUGUGAAAUCCCACGGCUCACCCGUGGAACUGCUGGGCAUACUGGGCGUCUUGGGCCAACUAGGGGCAGCCGGAACAAGCGGUGGAGCGGUGAAAUGCGUAGAUAUCGCUUGGAACGCCGAAAGUGAAAACAGGCUGCUGGGGUUGUGCCGACGCUGAGACACGAAAGCCAGGGGAGCAAACGGG
RNAcentral lists this ribosomal RNA (253 nucleotides) under uncultured bacterium. RNAcentral's name for it is "partial 16S ribosomal RNA". It matches the Rfam family "Bacterial small subunit ribosomal RNA", at positions 524 to 776 of the family's 1533-position model. The record is from RNAcentral.